CCUACGGGGGGCAGCAGUGAGGAAUAUUGGUCAAUGGACGAGAGUCUGAACCAGCCAAGUAGCGUGAAGGAUGACUGCCCUAUGGGUUGUAAACUUCUUUUAUAUGGGAGUAAAAUGUUCCACGUGUGGGAUUUUGUAUGUACCAUAUGAAUAAGGAUCGGCUAACUCCGUGCCAGCAGCCGCGGUAAUACGGAGGAUCCGAGCGUUAUCCGGAUUUAUUGGGUUUAAAGGGAGCGUAGGUGGAUUGUUAAGUCAGUUGUGAAAGUUUGCGGCUCAACCGUAGAAGUGCAGUUGAAACUGGCAGUCUUGAGUACAGUAGAGGUGGGCGGAAUGCGUGGUGUAGCGGUGAAAUGCUUAGAUAUCACGAAGAACUCCGAUUGCGAAGGCAGUUCACUGGACUGCAACUGACACUGAGGCUCGAAAGUGUGGGUAUCAAACAGGAUUAGAUACCCGAGUAGUC
RNAcentral lists this ribosomal RNA (460 nucleotides) under uncultured bacterium. RNAcentral's name for it is "partial 16S ribosomal RNA". It matches the Rfam family "Bacterial small subunit ribosomal RNA", at positions 338 to 795 of the family's 1533-position model. The record is from RNAcentral.